Molecule: ribosomal RNA, 504 nt
Filed under: uncultured Thermanaerovibrio sp.
Lineage: Bacteria; Thermotogati; Synergistota; Synergistia; Synergistales; Synergistaceae
Description: bacterial SSU rRNA
Rfam family: Bacterial small subunit ribosomal RNA
Source: RNAcentral
GCCUUCGCCACGCCCGCUCAAGAAACUACAAAGGAAUUGACGGGACCCCCGCACAAGCGGUGGAUCAUGUUGUUUAAUUCGAUGAUACGCGAAGAACCUUACCAGGUCUUGACAUCCCCCGCGAUGCUUUAGAGAUAAAGCGGAGGUAUUCGGGGAGACAGGUGGUGCAUGGUUGUCGUCAGCUCGUGUCGUGAGAUGUUGGGUUAAGUCCCGCAACGAGCGCAACCCUACGCUGAGUUACCAGCACGUAAAGGUGGGGACUCUCAGUGGACUGCCGGCGACAAGCCGGAGGAGGUGGGGACGACGUCAAGUCAUCAUGGCCCUCAUGUCCAGGGCGACACACGUGCUACAAUGGCCGGCACAACGGGAAGCGACGGCGCGAGUCGUAGCGGAUCCCUCAAAGCCGGUCCCAGUUCGGAUUGCAGUCUGCAACUCGACUGCAUGAAGCCGGAAUCGCUAGUAAUCGUGAAUCAGAAUGUCACGGUGAAUACGUUCCCGGGCCUU